This is a non-coding RNA of Parelaphostrongylus tenuis, 71 nucleotides long. Lineage: Eukaryota; Metazoa; Nematoda; Chromadorea; Rhabditida; Metastrongylidae. The record is from the annotation of a GenBank genome assembly.
GCCUCAGUGGUUUAGUGGUAGCGCGCGUCCCCGGAAUGAAUGAAACGCGGGUUCGAUUUCCGCCUGAGACC